GCUUAGGAAGGUAGAAUUCCCGGUGUAGCGGUGAAAUGCGUAGAGAUCGGGAGGAAUACCAGUGGCGAAGGCGGCCUUCUGGACUGACACUGACGCUGAGGUGCGAAAGCGUGGGUAGCAAACAGGAUUAGAUACCCUGGUAGUCCACGCCGUAAACGAUGUCGACUAGCCGUUGGGUCCCUUGAGGACUUAGUGGCGCAGUUAACGCGAUAAGUCGACCGCCUGGGGAGUACGGCCGCAAGGUUAAAACUCAAAUGAAUUGACGGGGGCCCGCACAAGCGGUGGAGCAUGUGGUUUAAUUCGAUGCAACGCGAAGAACCUUACCUACCCUUGACAUCCUGCGAACCCGGAAGAGAUUCCGGGGUGCCUUCGGGAACGCAGAGACAGGUGCUGCAUGGCUGUCGUCAGCUCGUGUUGUGAAAUGUUGGGUUAAGUCCCGUAACGAGCGCAACCCUUGUCCCUAUUUGCCAGCGAUUCGGUCGGGAACUCUAGGGAGACUGCCGGUGACAAACCGGAGGAAGGUGGGGACGACGUCAAGUCAUCAUGGCCCUUACGGGUAGGGCUACACACGUGCUACAAUGGUCGGUACAAAGGGCAGCGAAAGCGCGAGCUGAAGCGAAUCCCGAAAAGCCGAUCUCAGUCCGGAUCGGAGUCUGCAACUCGACUCCGUGAAGUCGGAAUCGCUAGUAAUCGUGCAUCAGAAUGGCACGGUGAAUACGUUCCCGGGCCUUGUACACACCGCCCGUCACACCAUGGGAGUGGACUGCACCAGAAGUGGUUAGCCUAACUUCGGAGGGCGAUCACCACGGUGUGUUCAUGACUGGGGUGAAGUCGUACAAGGUA
This 843-nucleotide ribosomal RNA is filed under the name uncultured bacterium. Its description in RNAcentral is "bacterial SSU rRNA". It matches the Rfam family "Bacterial small subunit ribosomal RNA", at positions 651 to 1498 of the family's 1533-position model. The record is from RNAcentral.